Molecule: long non-coding RNA, 3225 nt
Filed under: Mytilus galloprovincialis (Mediterranean mussel)
Lineage: Eukaryota; Metazoa; Mollusca; Bivalvia; Mytilida; Mytilidae
Source: RNAcentral
GUCGUCUGUUUAUGUGGUUCAUAAGUGUUUCUCCUUUUUAUAUAGAUUAUACCGUUGGUUUUCCAGUUUGAAUGGUCUAACACUUGUAAUUUUUGGAGCCCUUUAUAGCUUGCUGUUCCGUGUGAGCCAAAAUCAGUUAAAUUAAAUAAUCAAUAAAAAGAUAAGUUCAAAAUCAAAAAUAAUUUUAUUGCCUGCAUUGCAUUCAAGAUUAUAUUAACAUUAAAGAGACAUACUUUCUCAUAAUUCAAAAAAACAAACAUUAAUCAAAUUACAAACUAUGUGUAACAAAAAUAUCCUUCAUUCAUCCUAUCCAUGGCUCCUAAUAUAACAUACAAAUGUAGGAGAACAAGGGAUUGAAUCUCUCUAUAACAAAAUCUCUGGUUAUUUGGAAAACAUUUAUUUAGGGUGUUGAACAAAACCAAAUGGGAUACCCAUUUAAACAAUUUACAUUAUUUAAAUUAAAAUUUGACUGGCUUUAAGAAAUAACAAAUAUGAUUAUCUAAUUUGAUUAUGUGCUUGUAAACAAACUAAUUACGGUAACUAAAAUUUCCUCCCAAUUACUUUUAAUAAUGUUUAAUAUUUUGUUAAACUUUAACAUGCCAAAGUAGUAAAAAUAUUGUAAAAAUAUGAGACAUUGCCAUCCACUAUUCAGAAAAAAAAGUUAUUUUUCAAUGUUAUUUUUAGUCUAAAAAAUCCUAUUUCAAGAAUUUUACUCUGAAAGUAUAAAAUAUGGUAAGCACUGCAAUAUAUAUAUAUAUAAUAAAGAUCUAUAACCCCAUACAAAUUUACAAACAUUUAUAAAUCCACAUUCCUAGUUGUAAGUUUUAUCUAAACUAUAGUAAAAAUACUAUGACCAUUAUACAUGUACACCUUAACAUACAAUUACAUUUUUAGAAUAUAAUUCACUUUCCUAGGAACUGAUUUUAUAACAUCACAAAAUAGUGUUAUGGAAGACCUUUGGUUUAAUGGACAACUAUGGUAUAAUAAGUAGCACUAUAAAUGAUAAAUACAUGUAUACCAUACUUUUUUAUGCAUGGUCUAUAUGUUCAAAAGCAAAAUAUAAAAUGUUGCAAAAUAAUUUUUCUCUCUCACUUUUUUCAUCAAUAAACAAGAAUGUGUCCUCAGUACACGAAUGCCCCACUCGCACUAUCAUUUUUUAUGUUCAGUGGACCGUGAAAUUGGGGUAAAAUCUCUAAUUUGGCAUUCAAAUUAGAAAGAUCAUAUCAUAGGGAACAAUUGUACCAAGUUUGAAGUCGAUUGGACUUCAACUUCAUCAAAAACUACCUCGACCAAAAACUUUAACCUGAAGCGGGACAGACGGACGAACGAACGAACGGACGCACAGACCAGAAAACAUAAUGCCCCUCUACUAUCGUAGGUGGGGCAUAAAAAUAUCAAUUGUAAUAUAUGAUGAGUUCCAAUACUUCCAGUAUAUAAAAUGUAGUAUAAAUAAACUGUUGAUGUAGAUUUGUCUCUACUGUUGGCAGAAUAUUCAGAAGAAGACAAUCUAAUAGACAGUAAUAUUGCUAAUUUAUUCAAAUUCACUGGACCAAGACAAGGGGACAGGGUCUCAAAAUGGUCAACAAACUUAGAUUUAAUGAUAAGAUAUAAAAUUUAAAGAAAAAGUCAUUGAUCAAUUUCUAAAAAUUCCUAUCAAACUAACUUAAGCCGAAAAACUUCACUGAAAAUUGCUUAUUAAUUUAAAUCACUGGACCAUGACCUUUGAUGGCAAGGCCUUCACAUAGUUGUCAAACUGAUAUGACCUAAUAUAUGGCAAAUUUAUAGAAAAUAUAAUCUCACAAACAGUUCCUUUCAAACUGACUGAAGAAGAUAAGUUAACUAUUGCUGAUGCUGUCAAAAAGCACCACCUACUUUUUGCCUUUUGUGACUCUUGUCACAGACCAGAUAUAAUUUUCCAAUAGAAUACACACUGUGCAAUUUAGUGAAAUGUCACUUUAGCUAGACUGAUGAAGGAAUUACUGUGAAUCAAAAAUAUUCCUGGUAAUAGAAGGUAUUUGGAUAAUCCCCUAGCAUACUGUAGAAGUGGAAAUUUUUGUGUGGAUUUAUUUCGCAAGAUAAAAUCUUAAAAAUAUUACUUAGCGUAAAUUUUUAAAUUAUCAAAAAAGUAAUCAGUGCAAAUGGGUUUAGCUUUAUAUAUUGCACAAUUAAAUUUCUGUACUUAAUAUAGAAUCUAUUUCAAUGUCAAUCACUCAAGAACAACCCUUCGUUAUAAAAUACUCUACCAAGAUUGAGUUUUUACAGAUGAAAGUUGCAUGGACUGACACAUCAGCACUGUACUGUGGAUUCAUUAAUAUUCGUUGGAUAUCAAUUUUCGUUGGAUAUCAAUUUUCCUGAAUUUCCUGGUUACAGGUGAAUCACAAAUUCAAAUGUUCAACCAAUAUCCUAUUUUCAAUAGUCUUUGUAAACAGAGCUUGGCAAAACCAUGAAAUCAAAUAUCCACGAAUAUGCAAGUUUUCAGCAAUCCACGAAAAUUGAUACCCAUGAAAAUAAGUGAAACCACAGUAAUAUAUAUUACCCAAAGUAUUGAGGCAUUGGCUUAGGUUCCUUUAGAAAAAUUAUCUUUUGAUAACUUAAGGAUGUACUUAGGUGAGGUUAGGUAAAGUUUAAGAAAUUAAGAAAUCAAAAUUGAUACUAUAAGGCCAAUUAAAAUUAAUUGAUAGAUUUUCAUCCCCCCCCCGCCCCUCUGAAAUCGUUCCGCCCCGAUUUUUUUUAUUUUUAGAAAUUUACGAUUUCCGGAUUUUGUUCAUUUCCGUUUCCAGUAACCGUCAAAAAUUUCGUUUCCUUCAAAACUUCCUGUUUCAAAUUCGAUUUUCGUAUUUCUUCGAGUAAUUAAAAUGAUUCUGCAGCUCUUCAUAACAAAACCCUUUACUGAGAAUAGAGAAUGAUUACGAGAAGGGCAUGAAAUAAUCGGGUUACAAAUAAAACGCUGUGUCCAAGAGCGCAAAUCGCGGCAUGCAAAAUUUCGGUGAUUAGAAAACCGGUGAUUUUUUAUUGAUAAAAUCACUUUGUGGCAGGAAUCUUGGACUGUGAAUUAUAUCCAAAGAACAAGAACUGUGAAAUACAUUCGUACAAAAACAUAACUAGAUAAAAUAAAUUGACACAAGCACGAACUUGUUAGGUUUAUGACAGUAUAUUGAGUUAAAAAAUUCGGCAAACAUACACUUAGAUUACUCAAGGAUUUGUAUAGUAAGACUGUACAAAUCC